ACGACAGAUGGUGUCGUGUGACUCCCGAGACCUAGCCGGACGAAAAUACGGCGACAUGGUCAGAGGAGGCACCUGGAGGACUUCGGUCCGUCAGGUCGCAUGAGGAGUCUCCCAGAAAAGCCCCGCGGUCAUGAUGCUGGGUGCCCGUACCAAAACUGACACAGGAAGGCGAGGAGAGGAUCCUAAGGCGCUCGAGAGAACUCUCGUGAAGGAACACGGCAAAAUUACCCCGUAACUUCGGGAUAAGGGGUGCUCACGGCCUUGACUGACAAAGAAGGGGCCGUGAGCCGCAGAGAAUCGGGAGCUGCAACUGUUUAUCAAAAACACAAGUCUGCGCAAACUCGAAACGAGGACGUAUGCAGACUGACGCGUGCUCGGUGCCGGAAGGUCAAGGCAAGGGGUCAUGCCGCAAGGCAGAAGCUCCGAACCGAAGCCCCGGUUAACGGCGGCCGUAACUAUGACGGUCCUAAGGUAGCGAAAUUCCUUGUCGGGUAAGUUCCGACCCGCACGAAUCGCGGAAUGACAGCUUCAGUGUCUCCACGAGGGACUCGGCGAAAUUGCAGUAGCGGUGCAGAUGCCGCUUACCCGCAGCUAGACGGAAAGACCCCGUGAACCUUUACUGUAGCUUAGUAUUGGAACUUGUCCUGGUCUGCGUAGCAUAGCUGGGAGGCUUCGAUAUUCGGGUUCCGGCCCGAGUGGAGCCAUCAGUGAAAUACCUGCCUGAUCUUGAUAGGUUUCUAACCUCGACCGUUACCCGGUCGUGGGACCGUGCUAGGUGGGCAGUUUUGCUGGGGCGGUAUCCUCCAAAAGAGUAACGGAGGAGUUCAAAGGUUCCCUCAGUGCGGUUGGCAAUCGCACGCAGAGCGCAAAGGUGCAAGGGAGCUUGACUGCGAGGCGUAAGUGCCGAGCAGGUGCGAAAGCAGGACUUAGUGAUCCGGCGUUACCGGAUGGAAGGGACGUCGCCUAUCUGACAAAAGGUACUCCGGGGAUAACAGGCUGAUCUGGUCCAAGAGUCCAUAUCGACGACCAGGUUUGGCACCUCGAUGUCGGCUCAUCGCAUCCUGGGGCUGUAGGAGGUCCCAAGGGUUGGGCUGUUCGCCCAUUAAAGCGGUACGUGAGCUGGGUUCAGACCGUCGUGAGACAGGUCGGUCCCUAUCUACUGUGGGUAUAGGAAGCGUGAGGAGGUCUUCCCUUAGUACGAGAGGAUUUGGGAGGACGGUCCGCUGGUGUUCCGGUUGUCCCGCCAGGGGCAUUGCCGGGUAGCUAUGACCGGUACGGAUAAGCGCUGAAAGCAUCUAAGCGCGAAGCCCGCUCCAAAACGACGCUUCCCUGAGGCACGUUGAAGACUACGACGUUGAUAGGCCGGAGGUGUAAGCACAGCGAUGUGUUCAGCUUACCGGUACUAACCCGCCGACAGGCUUGCCUAC
Molecule: ribosomal RNA, 1427 nt
Filed under: metagenome
Description: bacterial LSU rRNA
Rfam family: Bacterial large subunit ribosomal RNA
Source: RNAcentral